This 250-nucleotide unclassified non-coding RNA is filed under the name plant metagenome. RNAcentral describes it as "partial contains small subunit ribosomal RNA, internal transcribed spacer 1, and 5.8S ribosomal RNA". The record is from RNAcentral.
GUAGGUGAACCUGCGGAAGGAUCAUUAACGAGAUAGGGUCUCUUCGGAGCCCGACCUCCAACCCAAUGUUUAUCAUACCUCUGUUGCCUCGGCAGGCCGCCGGUGCGUCUAACCGCGUACCGCCGUCGGUCGUCCUCGACUUUCGAGUGCCUGCCGCUGGGAUAUACAAAACUCUUUUUGAAAUCAGUAUUCUGAGCGAGAAAUCAAUUAUAUUAAAACUUUCAACAACGGAUCUCUUGGUUCUGGCAUC